RNAcentral lists this ribosomal RNA (220 nucleotides) under uncultured bacterium. RNAcentral describes it as "partial 16S ribosomal RNA". It matches the Rfam family "Bacterial small subunit ribosomal RNA", at positions 524 to 742 of the family's 1533-position model. The record is from RNAcentral.
UACGAAGGGUGCAAGCGUUACUCGGAAUUACUGGGCGUAAAGGGUGCGUAGGUGGUUUGUUAAGUCUGCUGUGAAAUCCCCGGGCUCAACCUGGGAAUGGCAGUGGAUACUGGCAAGCUAGAGUGCGGUAGAGGGUAGUGGAAUUCCCGGAUGUAGCAGUGAAAUGCGUAGAGAUCGGGAGGAACACCAGUGGCGAAGGCGGCUACCUGGACCAGCACUG